RNAcentral lists this ribosomal RNA (486 nucleotides) under uncultured bacterium. Its description in RNAcentral is "partial 16S ribosomal RNA". It matches the Rfam family "Bacterial small subunit ribosomal RNA", at positions 28 to 507 of the family's 1533-position model. The record is from RNAcentral.
AUUGAACGCUGGCGGCAUGCCUUACACAUGCAAGUCGAACGGCAGCACGGGCGUUUGCUCCUGGUGGCGAGUGGCGCACGGGUGAGUAAUAUAUCUGAACCUGUCCUGUUGUGGGGGCAAGCCCGGCGAAAGCCUGGUUAAUUCGGCCUACGUUCUGCGGAGGCAGGCGGGGGGCCUCCGGGCUUGGCGCCGUAGUGCUGGCCGUUGGCUGUGUACUCGCUUGGUGGGGUCUAGGCGUACCAAGACGACGAUCAGAAGCGGGCCUGAGAGGACGACCAUCCACACUGGGACUGAGGCACGGCCCAGACUCCUACGGGAGGCAGCAGUGGGGAAUUUUGGACAAUGGGCGAAAGCCUGAUCCAGCAAUGCCGCGUGUGUGAAGAAGGCCUUCGGGUUGUAAAGCACUUUUGUCCGGAAAGAAAUGCUUGGCUCUAAUACAGUCGGGGGAUGACGGUACCGGAAGAAUAAGCACCGGCUAACUACGUG